GGCGGCCGUGGCGCGAUGACAGAGCGUCUGCCUUGCAAGCCAGAGGAUCUCGGUUCAAGUCCGGGCUCCGUCA
Molecule: transfer RNA, 73 nt
Filed under: Trichomalopsis sarcophagae
Lineage: Eukaryota; Metazoa; Arthropoda; Insecta; Hymenoptera; Pteromalidae
Description: tRNA-OTHER
Source: RNAcentral